This 465-nucleotide ribosomal RNA is filed under the name uncultured bacterium. RNAcentral describes it as "partial 16S ribosomal RNA". It matches the Rfam family "Bacterial small subunit ribosomal RNA", at positions 28 to 507 of the family's 1533-position model. The record is from RNAcentral.
GACGAACGCUGGCGGCGUGCUUAACACAUGCAAGUCGAACGAAAAGGCCCUGCUUGCAGGGUAUUCGAGUGGCGAACGGGUGAGUAACACGUGGGUGAUCUGCCCUGCACUUCGGGAUAAGCCUGGGAAACUGGGUCUAAUACCGGAUAGGAGCCAUUUUUAGUGUGAUGGUUGGAAAGUUUUUUCGGUGUAGGAUGAGCUCGCGGCCUAUCAGCUUGUUGGUGGGGUAAUGGCCUACCAAGGCGGCGACGGGUAGCCGGCCUGAGAGGGUGGACGGCCACAGUGGGACUGAGAUACGGCCCAGACUCCUACGGGAGGCAGCAGUGGGGAAUAUUGCACAAUGGGCGCAAGCCUGAUGCGGCGACGCCGCGUGGGGGAUGACGGCCUUCGGGUUGUAAACUCCUUUCGCUAGGGACGAAGCUUUUUGCGACGGUACCUAGAUAAGAAGCACCGGCUAACUACGUG